UUUCCGUAGGUGAACCUGCGGAAGGAUCAUUAAAAAUGAAGCCGGGAAACCGGUCCUUCUCACCCUUGAUUAUCUCAAAUUGUUGCUUUGGUGGGCCGCGCAAGCACCGGCUUCGGCUGGAUCGUGCCCGCCAGAGGACCACAACUCUGUAUUAUAUGUCGUCUGAGUACUAUAAAAUAGUUAAAACUUUCAACAACGGAUCUCUUGAUUCUG
RNAcentral lists this unclassified non-coding RNA (213 nucleotides) under plant metagenome. RNAcentral's name for it is "partial contains small subunit ribosomal RNA, internal transcribed spacer 1, and 5.8S ribosomal RNA". The record is from RNAcentral.